Molecule: ribosomal RNA, 897 nt
Filed under: uncultured bacterium
Lineage: Bacteria
Description: bacterial SSU rRNA
Rfam family: Bacterial small subunit ribosomal RNA
Source: RNAcentral
GACGAACGCUGGCGGCGUGCUUAACACAUGCAAGUUGCGCGAGAAAGCUACCUUCGGGUAGUGAGUAAAGCGGCGAACGGGUGAGUAACGCGUGGGUUACCUGCCUCUAAGUUAGGGAAAACUUCUCGAAAGGGAAGCUAAUACCUAAUAUCUAAAGAUGGCUCUGCUAUCGCUUAGAGAUGGGCCCGCGUCCCAUUAGCUUGUUGGUAGUGUAAUAGACUACCAAAGCUACAAUGGGUAGCCGACCUGAGAGGGUGAUCGGCCACACUGGGACUGAGACACGGCCCAGACUCCUACGGGAGGCUGCAGUGGGGAAUCUUCCGCAAUGAGCGAAAGCUUGACGGAGCAACGCCGCGUGAGUGAUGAAGGCCUUCGGGUCGUAAAGCUCUGUCCUAAGGGAAGAACAUCUCAGUAGAUAAUACCUGCUGGGCUUGACGGUACCUUUGGAGGAAGCCUCGGCUAAUUACGUGCCAGCAGCCGCGGUAAUACGUAAGAGGCAAGCGUUGUCCGGAAUCACUGGGCGUGAAGGGUGCGCAGGCGGUCUAGUAAGUCAAGAGUGAAAUCCAUCGGCUCAACCGGUGAACUGCUUUUGAAACUACUAGACUUGAGAACAGAAGAAGAGAGUGGAAUUCCUGGUGUAGUGGUGAAAUACGUAGAUAUCAGGAAGAAUACCAAUGGCGAAAGCAGCUCUCUAAUCUGAUUCUGACGCUGAGGCACGAAAGCUAGGGUAUCAAACGGGAUUAGAUACCCCGGUAGUCCUAGCUGUAAACGCUGGACACUAGGUGUUGGGGGUUCAACUCCCUCAGUGCUGCAGUUAACGCGUUAAGUGUCCCGCCUGGGGACUACGACCGCAAGGUUGAAACUCAAAGGAANUUGACGGGGGCCCGCACAAGCGGC